AUUGAACGCUGGCGGCAUGCCUUACACAUGCAAGUCGAACGGCAGCACGGGAGCAAUCCUGGUGGCGCGUGGCGAACGGGUGAGUAAAGUAUCGGAACGUGCCCAGUCGUGGGGGAUAACGUAGCGAAAGUUACGCUAAUACCGCAUACGAUCUAUGGAUGAAAGCGGGGGAUCGCAAGACCUCGCGCGAUUGGAGCGGCCGAUAUCAGAUUAGGUAGUUGGUGGGGGAAAGGCUCACCAAGCCGACGAUCUGUAGCUGGUCUGAGCGGACGACCAGCAACACUGGAACUGAGAGACGGCCCAGACUCCAACGGGAGGCAGCAUUGGGGAAUUUUGGACAAUGGGCGAAAGCCUGAUCCAGCAAUGCCGCGUGCAGGAUAAAGGCCUUCAGGUUGUAAACUGCUUUUGUACGGAACGAAAAGGUUUGGCCUAAUAAGCUGAGCUCAUGACGGUACCGUAAGAGUAAGCACCGGCUAACUACGUGCCAGCAGCCGCCGUAA
This 500-nucleotide ribosomal RNA is filed under the name uncultured bacterium. RNAcentral's name for it is "partial 16S ribosomal RNA". It matches the Rfam family "Bacterial small subunit ribosomal RNA", at positions 30 to 523 of the family's 1533-position model. The record is from RNAcentral.